AUUGAACGCUGGCGGAAUGCUUUACACAUGCAAGUCGAACGGCAGCACGGGGGCAGCCCUGGUGGCGAGUGGCGAACGGGUGAGUAAUACAUCGGAACGUGCCCGGUCGUGGGGGAUAACGUAGCGAAAGUUACGCUAAUACCGCAUACGAUCUGAGGAUGAAAGCGGGGGACCUUCGGGCCUCGCGCGAUCGGAGCGGCCGAUGUCAGAUUAGGUAGUUGGUGGGGUAAAGGCCUACCAAGCCGACGAUCUGUAGCUGGUCUGAGAGGACGACCAGCCACACUGGGACUGAGACACGGCCCAGACUCCUACGGGAGGCAGCAGUGGGGAAUUUUGGACAAUGGGCGCAAGCCUGAUCCAGCCAUUCCGCGUGCAGGACGAAGGCCUUCGGGUUGUAAACUGCGUUUGUACGGAACGAAAAGGCUCUGGCUAAUACCUGGGGCUCAUGACGGUACCGUAAGAAUAAGCACCGGCUAACUACGUG
Molecule: ribosomal RNA, 484 nt
Filed under: uncultured bacterium
Lineage: Bacteria
Description: partial 16S ribosomal RNA
Rfam family: Bacterial small subunit ribosomal RNA
Source: RNAcentral